CGCCUUAUCCUUCUCUCCGAUCUGCCCCGCCGCCGACCUUGUGAUGAUUAUUACAGUUCUGAAGGUCCAGACAUAAUUUUUCAAAAUUUAACUUUUUGUGGAGAAGAAUUUUCAAAUGUUCGUCGAGCAAAAAGGUUUCAAAAUAUUUAUCCUCAGUUUUUAAUUAUCUCCUGCUAAGGAAAUACAUUCAAGAAUUUCCUUUGUUUUGUGUUUGUUUGGAAAGUACCAAAGUUAAAAGAUUCGCAAAGAUCAAAUGCUAUGUUUUAAGGACCAUUGGUUAGAUUACAUUGCCUUUGAACCUUUAGCUAAAGAUGCCCAAUUGAUUGAUACUUUUCAAAAUCUAUGUAGAAGCUGAAAAAAGGGCAAUAACUUAAAGCUCUAAGCUAGGCAUGGAUGAACCAUCGAAAUAUCAAUCCUUGGCAACUCUUACGGGAGAUGUAAGCAACAAUAAUAUGAUCAAGGUGUUUUAGUCAUUACUCAUAAAAUAAGGGACCUGCCAAUCAGCAAAAUGCAAGUUUAGGUUGUGAGUAGCAAAGACAACAAAGAGUCAGGGACAUUCACCUGUCCUGAUGUGAGAUCAAAAGAAAUUGAAUGCAUGUAUUGUGACUGCAUAUUUUAACCAGACAGCGUUGGUCCAGAGCCUAAGGUCUAAAGAAUCCACAUCCCAAGAUUUUAAUCAGGAUCUUGUGACGUUUAUUAAACUUUUCUCCUUCAACUUCCCAAUCUUUUUUCUCAUAUAUGCUUUAAACUUUUGUGUAUCUACAUAUGGCUUUGAAAGUUACCAGCUCACAAACUUAUUCCAUUACUAACUCCAAUCAAACAGUUAAGAGGCUAAAGGAAAU
Molecule: long non-coding RNA, 842 nt
Filed under: Capsella rubella
Lineage: Eukaryota; Viridiplantae; Streptophyta; Magnoliopsida; Brassicales; Brassicaceae
Description: long non-coding RNA (CRUB_LNC002884)
Source: RNAcentral